Molecule: non-coding RNA, 634 nt
Organism: Theobroma cacao (cacao)
Lineage: Eukaryota; Viridiplantae; Streptophyta; Magnoliopsida; Malvales; Malvaceae
Source: RefSeq, a predicted model, not a curated record
CCAUGGGUACAUGAAGGACUCAAAGUGGAAAAGGAAAACGGAAGUGCAAUAAUAAGGUUACAGUACUGUGGUGGCAUGUCGGAGUAAAUAACGAGCGACCAGCUAGUGAAAAUUUUAGAGACACCUCCGAUCAAAAAGCGAUGUAAUAUCCCGUUAUAGUAAGGUUUUUUGAGUUAAAGGUGAUUGGAUCCUAGGACGAGGUGCUCCUCCCUAUACAUUGCUCUGUAGGUUAACGUGCCACUAAGUGUUAUCAAUCGUGCCAAGAGUCACUCCGCUAACGGUUGAGGUCUAAUUAUGUGCAUAUGGAUAUUUGAUGUGAAACAUUAAGGUUCAUUUGUUAUUCUAUAUAUGUAUAUAAUGGUUGAUGAUGCCAUUAUGAAUGCAUGACUGGGCUUUAUGAAUUAUUUUCAAAGGAAUUGUAAUUUAGUAUUACGAAUUUCAGAUUCUAAAGGAAUAUGGAUUAAUGUAUAAGAUCAUGUAAGUAGGCUUGCUUGGGCUUGGUAGGCUGAGCCCAUUGGGCCCUUGCACCGGUCAUGGCUCAAAAAUUGGGCUGUGACAGCAGAUGUUCAUUAUGCUAAAACAAUCAUGUUAGUCGUUGAAAUUCAAUUACUCUACUUGAUAGGAACAUUAUGCA